RNAcentral lists this long non-coding RNA (489 nucleotides) under Panax ginseng (ginseng). Its description in RNAcentral is "long non-coding RNA (PGIN_LNC003237)". The record is from RNAcentral. Lineage: Eukaryota; Viridiplantae; Streptophyta; Magnoliopsida; Apiales; Araliaceae.
UGUAAUUAAUUAAUUAUUUAAAUGAUAUCGAAGGGGGAUAAUUUAUACAAGUAUAAGAUAGCAUGGGCUUGCGUGCUGGGGCUGACACAAAGAGGCCCGCAAAGUUGGGUGAUAAACAAGCACAUAUCCCUUAACCCCAGUUUGGGGACACACAAGUGGACAGACAGUAUGGCGUAUCCUUCUGAUCACUUGACAUGAAAUUUGAACUUGACCGAAUCCAUCCGAGUUGAUUCAUGUAUAUAUGAUUCCUGAGUUUGUCUCGUUCCAUCCAGGCCUCCAAAUUCAAACUCUAUUUAAAGUAGCGGAGGCAGCCCACUGCUUUCUCCAAUGCAAUUGUCUUCAUCACCUCCAACACCUACUUGUUUCUUUAUUUAUUUCUCUCCACCUUUAAUUUGCUCUCUCCCUUAUUUUUAUCCUCUGGAUAGCUUCUCUUAUCUCUCCGACCACAAUAACUUGACGUCCCAAAACACUUUGUGUACCUCUUCUCAU